Molecule: long non-coding RNA, 246 nt
Organism: Pogonomyrmex barbatus (red harvester ant)
Lineage: Eukaryota; Metazoa; Arthropoda; Insecta; Hymenoptera; Formicidae
Source: RefSeq, a predicted model, not a curated record
GAUUUACAGAUUCCGCAAAGUUUUUGUACAAGUACAUUUCAAGAAUACAUUCGCUCUGACAAGAUGAAAAUGAUUACAUUUUACAUUUGCGCUUUUGGUCUUCUUUUUUCUGUCACAAUUGUUAUGACAUCUUCAAAUAAGUUGGGAAAUAAGAAUACCAAUUACACCAUUUGUUUAGCUGAAAAUAAUGUUUCAGAUGGUAAGUAACUAAAAUAAGAGAUUUUCAUAUAAAGUACAACAAAAAAA